RNAcentral lists this RNase P RNA (304 nucleotides) under Minisyncoccota bacterium. RNAcentral describes it as "RNase P RNA component class A". It matches the Rfam family "Bacterial RNase P class A". From Rfam's summary of the family: Ribonuclease P (RNase P) is a ubiquitous endoribonuclease, found in archaea, bacteria and eukarya as well as chloroplasts and mitochondria. Its best characterised activity is the generation of mature 5'-ends of tRNAs by cleaving the 5'-leader elements of precursor-tRNAs. Lineage: Bacteria; Bacillati; Minisyncoccota. The record is from RNAcentral.
CAGCACAACCGGGUAGUGGCUUCACGCAAGUGAAGAGGAAAGUCCGGACAGCAGAGCAAAGGGUGCCCUGUGAAAGCAGGGGAUUGCGCUUAGCGCAAGCCAGUUUAGAGCAACAGAGACGAGCCGAGUGGCGUCGGUUGAAACGAUCAAGCUUCUGGAUCGGCUGGGUUUCCAGCUGGGCAAUCCUCCCCGCUGCAACUGGCGAUCUUUACCUAAAUGGACUUGCUCCCUUUAACGGUAAUAAUGACCAGGCAUAGAUAAAUCACUACUUAAACAGAAUCCGGCUUACGAGUUGUGCUGAUAU